UCCUCCCUCUGGCGGCGUGCUUAACACAUGCAAGUCGAACGAAGAGCGAUGGAAGCUUGCUUCUAUCAAUCUUAGUGGCGAACGGGUGGGUAACGCGUAAUCAACCUGCCCUUCAGAGGGGGACAACAGUUGGAAACGACUGCUAAUACCGCAUACGAUCUAAUCUCGGCAUCGAGGAUAGAUGAAAGGUGGCCUCUACAUGUAAGCUAUCACUGAAGGAGGGGAUUGCGUCUGAUUAGCUAGUUGGAGGGGUAACGGCCCACCAAGGCGAUGAUCAGUAGCCGGUCUGAGAGGAUGAACGGCCACAUUGGGACUGAGACACGGCCCAGACUCCUACGGGAGGCAGCAGUGGGGAAUCUUCCGCAAUGGACGAAAGUCUGACGGAGCAACGCCGCGUGAGCGAUGACGGCCUUCGGGUUGUAAAGCUCUGUUAAUCGGGACGAAAGGCCUUCUUGCGAAUAGUGAGAAGGAUUGACGGUACCGGAAUAGAAAGCCACGGCUAACUACGUG
This 510-nucleotide ribosomal RNA is filed under the name uncultured bacterium. RNAcentral describes it as "partial 16S ribosomal RNA". It matches the Rfam family "Bacterial small subunit ribosomal RNA", at positions 36 to 507 of the family's 1533-position model. The record is from RNAcentral.